Molecule: non-coding RNA, 870 nt
Organism: Gorilla gorilla gorilla (western lowland gorilla)
Lineage: Eukaryota; Metazoa; Chordata; Mammalia; Primates; Hominidae
Source: the annotation of a RefSeq genome assembly
AGUUAACAUAGCCCUGGGACGAGACUGAGGAUGUGAGCUGUUGUUCGCCCCAAAUGACUGCAGACCCUCCCAGAGAUGGCGAUGGACUCUGCCUUCACUCUGCAGCUGUGCCCUGGGUCUGGUCAAGCCCUGCUAGAGCCUCAGCGGAGCUCGUCCGCAGGUGCCAGCAGAGGGCGCUUCACAUUCUCGUGGAAGGGGCCGGGAGGGCGCUCUCCUGGCAACAGUGAUUUCUGUUUAUUUAAAUCAGCAGGACAUCCCCAUAAUUUGCAUGUAUCCUUCCUCCUAUAUGUGAAGAGACCCUGCCUCUCGGUAUCUUAAAAGAGGUUCUUUCUCUGGGAUGUGGCAUGAGCAAAACUGACAAGUCAAGGCAGGAAGAUGUCCCCAUCACAACUCAUUGGGUUUCUGCUGCUCUGGGUUCCAGCCUCCAGGGGUGAAAUUGUGCUGACUCAGUCUCCAGACUUUCAGUCUGUGACUCCAAAGGAGAAAGUCACCAUCACCUGCCGGGCCAGUCAGAGCAUUGGUAGUAGCUUACACUGGUACCAGCAGAAACCAGAUCAGUCUCCAAAGCUCCUCAUCAAGUAUGCUUCCCAGUCCAUCUCAGGGGUCCCCUCGAGGUUCAGUGGCAGUGGAUCUGGGACAGAUUUCACGCUCACCAUCAAUAGCCUGGAAGCUGAAGAUGCUGCAACGUAUUACUGUCAGCAGAGUAGUAGUUUACCUCACACUGUGUUACAACCGAGAACAAAAACUAGUUCAGCCUGGCUGAACAGAGAAACUGGGUGAUACCCUAGAAUACUUCUGAUUGUUGCAGGUGCUUCAGGGGCAAUGAGUUAACCAAUACAAUGAAGUCUGGCUCACCCAGCAGAGAGGAAA